Long non-coding RNA from Eriocheir sinensis (Chinese mitten crab), 230 nucleotides. RefSeq lists it as uncharacterized. NCBI's taxonomy places the organism in Eukaryota, Metazoa, Arthropoda, Malacostraca, Decapoda, Varunidae. The record is from RefSeq and is a predicted model, not a curated record. The transcript is spliced from 2 exons.
ACGUAGGAGUGUAGCCUUUGGGAGUCUUGCAGUGAAAGCUAUGAUGAGUUUCUCCUCCUGUCAGUGUAAAGCCGUGACCGUGACAGUCUUCCUCUUCUUCCUCCUCUUUUUCCUCUUCUUUUCACAUGUACAGCCUCGAAGGUCCUCCUCUUGACCGUGACAGCCUUCCUCUUCUUCUUCCUCUUUUUCCUCUUCUUUUCACCUGUACAGCUUCGAAGGUGCUCCUCCUC